AUUGAACGCUGGCGGAAUGCUUUACACAUGCAAGUCGAACGGCAGCACGGGAGCUUGCUCCUGGUGGCGAGUGGCGAACGGGUGAGUAAUGCGUCGGAACGUGCCGAGUAAUGGGGGAUAACGCAGCGAAAGUUGUGCUAAUACCGCAUACGCCCUGAGGGGGAAAGUGGGGGAUCGCAAGACCUCACGUUAUUCGAGCGGCCGACGUCUGAUUAGCUAGUUGGUGGGGUAAAGGCCUACCAAGGCGACGAUCAGUAGCGGGUCUGAGAGGAUGAUCCGCCACACUGGGACUGAGACACGGCCCAGACUCCUACGGGAGGCAGCAGUGGGGAAUUUUGGACAAUGGGGGCAACCCUGAUCCAGCCAUUCCGCGUGAGUGAAGAAGGCCUCGGUUGUAAGUACGUCUUUCUAG
RNAcentral lists this ribosomal RNA (412 nucleotides) under uncultured bacterium. RNAcentral describes it as "bacterial SSU rRNA". It matches the Rfam family "Bacterial small subunit ribosomal RNA", at positions 30 to 440 of the family's 1533-position model. The record is from RNAcentral.